GACGAACGCUGGCGGCGUGCUUAACACAUGCAAGUCGAACGAAGAGCGAUGGAAGCUUGCUUCUCUCAAUCUUAGUGGCGGCCGGGUGAGUAACGCGUAAUCAACCUGCCCUUCAGAGGGGGACAACAGUUGGAAACGACUGCUAAUACCGCAUACGCUCUAACCUCGGCAUCGAGGAAAGAUGAACGGUGGCCUCUGUGGAUAAGCUGUCACUGAAGGAGGGGAGUGCGGCAGAUGGGCUAGUUGGCGGGGUAACGGCCCAGCAAGGCGAUGAUCAGUGGCCGGUCUGAGAGGAUGAACGGCCAGAUUGGGACUGAGACACGGCCCAGAGUCCUACGGGAGGCAGCAGUGGUGAAGCUUCCGCAAUGGACGAAAGACUGACGGAGCAACGCCGCGGGAGUGAUGACGGCCGUCGGGUUGGAAAGCUCGGUUAAUCGGGACGAAAGGCCUUCUUGCGAAUAGGGAGAAGGAUUGACGGUACCGGAAUAGAAAGCCACGGCUAACUACGUG
This 510-nucleotide ribosomal RNA is filed under the name uncultured bacterium. Its description in RNAcentral is "partial 16S ribosomal RNA". It matches the Rfam family "Bacterial small subunit ribosomal RNA", at positions 28 to 507 of the family's 1533-position model. The record is from RNAcentral.